GGAGGGGUGGCCGAGAGGCCGAAGGCGGCCGCUUGCUAAGCGGCAGAGGGGCUAAAACCCCUCCGAGGGUUCGAAUCCCUCCCCCUCCGCCA
This 92-nucleotide transfer RNA is filed under the name Aquifex pyrophilus. RNAcentral's name for it is "tRNA-Ser". It matches the Rfam family "tRNA". Rfam says of the family: Transfer RNA (tRNA) molecules are approximately 80 nucleotides in length. Their secondary structure includes four short double-helical elements and three loops (D, anti-codon, and T loops). Lineage: Bacteria; Pseudomonadati; Aquificota; Aquificia; Aquificales; Aquificaceae. RNAcentral also lists the same sequence under 3 other names. The record is from RNAcentral.